This 253-nucleotide ribosomal RNA is filed under the name uncultured bacterium. RNAcentral describes it as "partial 16S ribosomal RNA". It matches the Rfam family "Bacterial small subunit ribosomal RNA", at positions 524 to 776 of the family's 1533-position model. The record is from RNAcentral.
UACAGAGGGUGCGAGCGUUAAUCGGAAUUACUGGGCGUAAAGCGCGCGUAGGCGGCUUUGCAAGUCGGGUGUGAAAUCCCCAGGCUUAACCUGGGAACUGCAUCCGAGACUGCAUUGCUAGAGUAUGGGAGAGGGAAGUGGAAUUUCAGGUGUAGCGGUGAAAUGCGUAGAUAUCUGGAGGAACACCGGUGGCGAAGGCGACAUCCUGGACCGGUAUUGACGCUGAGGCGCGAAAGCCAGGGGAGCAAACGGG